This 293-nucleotide ribosomal RNA is filed under the name uncultured bacterium. Its description in RNAcentral is "partial 16S ribosomal RNA". It matches the Rfam family "Bacterial small subunit ribosomal RNA", at positions 505 to 796 of the family's 1533-position model. The record is from RNAcentral.
GUGCCAGCCGCCGCGGUAAUACGGAGGGGGUUAGCGUUGUUCGGAAUUACUGGGCGUAAAGCGCGCGUAGGCGGACAUUUAAGUCAGGGGUGAAAUCCCGGGGCUCAACCCCGGAACUGCCCUUGAUACUGGGUGUCUUGAGUUCGAGAGAGGUGAGUGGAAUUCCGAGUGUAGAGGUGACAUUUAACGAUAAAAGAGAGAGCACCCAGGGUGAAAACAACUAACUAGGAUAGAACUGACGCCAAUAAGACUAAAGCACGGGGAGCAAACAGGAUUAGAUACCCCGGUAGUCC